GUUUUCAUUUUGGCAGCACAUAUACUGAACAUUGGGAUGAUACAGAGAAGAUGAGCAUGGCCCCUUCACAACGGUGACACUUAAGCAGUAAUGGCUUACCUCAGACUUUU
Molecule: small nuclear RNA, 110 nt
Filed under: Vulpes vulpes (red fox)
Lineage: Eukaryota; Metazoa; Chordata; Mammalia; Carnivora; Canidae
Source: RNAcentral